UACAGAGGGUGCGAGCGUUGUUCGGAAUUACUGGGCGUAAAGCGCGCGUAGGUGGUCCCGUAAGUCCGCUGUGAAAGUCAAAGGCUCAACCUUUGAAAGCCGGUGGAUACUGUGGGACUAGAGUACGGAAGAGGCGAGUGGAAUUCCUGGUGUAGCGGUGAAAUGCGCAGAUAUCAGGAGGAACACCAAUUGCGAAGGCAGCUCGCUGGGACGUUACUGACGCUGAGACGCGAAAGCGUGGGGAGCAAACAGG
RNAcentral lists this ribosomal RNA (253 nucleotides) under uncultured bacterium. Its description in RNAcentral is "partial 16S ribosomal RNA". It matches the Rfam family "Bacterial small subunit ribosomal RNA", at positions 524 to 776 of the family's 1533-position model. The record is from RNAcentral.